This 644-nucleotide ribosomal RNA is filed under the name Limosilactobacillus oris. RNAcentral describes it as "bacterial SSU rRNA". It matches the Rfam family "Bacterial small subunit ribosomal RNA", at positions 393 to 1028 of the family's 1533-position model. The record is from RNAcentral. Lineage: Bacteria; Bacillati; Bacillota; Bacilli; Lactobacillales; Lactobacillaceae.
AACACCGCGUGAGUGAAGAAGGGUUUCGGCUCGUAAAACUCUGUUGUUGGAGAAGAACGUGCGUAAGAGUAACUGUUUACGCAGUGACGGUAUCCAACCAGAAAGUCACGGCUAACUACGUGCCAGCAGCCGCGGUAAUACGUAGGUGGCAAGCGUUAUCCGGAUUUAUUGGGCGUAAAGCGAGCGCAGGCGGUUGCUUAGGUCUGAUGUGAAAGCCUUCGGCUUAACCGAAGAAGUGCAUCGGAAACCGGGCGACUUGAGUGCAGAAGAGGACAGUGGAACUCCAUGUGUAGCGGUGGAAUGCGUAGAUAUAUGGAAGAACACCAGUGGCGAAGGCGGCUGUCUGGUCUGCAACUGACGCUGAGGCUCGAAAGCAUGGGUAGCGAACAGGAUUAGAUACCCUGGUAGUCCAUGCCGUAAACGAUGAGUGCUAGGUGUUGGAGGGUUUCCGCCCUUCAGUGCCGAAGCUAACGCAUUAAGCACUCCGCCUGGGGAGUACGACCGCAAGGUUGAAACUCAAAGGAAUUGACGGGGGCCCGCACAAGCGGUGGAGCAUGUGGUUUAAUUCGAAGCUAUGCGAAGAACCUUACCAGGUCUUGACAUCUUGCGCCAACCUCAGAGAUGAGGCGUUCCCUUCGGGGACG